UCGGACGUGGUGUAUGAAACACGGCCUCUUUCUGUGCGCCGUAAAACACACAUGCGGGAGGCAAUCCCGGGUUCGACUCCCGGCGUCCGAA
Molecule: non-coding RNA, 91 nt
Organism: Mycena metata
Lineage: Eukaryota; Fungi; Basidiomycota; Agaricomycetes; Agaricales; Mycenaceae
Source: the annotation of a GenBank genome assembly